CCUACGGGAGGCAGCAGUGGGGAAUAUUGGGCAAUGGUCGCAAGCCUGACCCAGCAACGCCGCGUGAAGGAAGAAGGCUCACGGGUUGUUAACUUCUUUUAUCAGGGACGAAGCAAGUGACGGUAGCUGAUGAAUAAGCCACGGCUAACGAAGUGCCAGCAGCCGCCGUAAUUCGUAGGUGGCAACCGUUAUCCGGAUUUAAUGGUUGUAAAGGGCGGGUAGGCGGGAAAGCAAGUCAGAUGUGAAAACCAUGGGCGCAACCUGUGGCCUGCAUUUGAAACUGGUUGUCUUGAGUACUGGAGAGGCAGACGGAAUGCGUGGUGUAGCGGUGAAAUGCGUAGAUA
Molecule: ribosomal RNA, 344 nt
Filed under: uncultured bacterium
Lineage: Bacteria
Description: partial 16S ribosomal RNA
Rfam family: Bacterial small subunit ribosomal RNA
Source: RNAcentral